CACUCCUGCGGGAGGCAGCAGUGGGGAAUUUUGGACAAUGGGCGAAAGCCUGAUCCAGCCAUGCCGCGUGCAGGAUGAAGGCCUUCGGGUUGUAAACUGCUUUUGUACGGAACGAAACGGCCUUUUCUAAUAAAGAGGGCUAAUGACGGUACCGUAAGAAUAAGCACCGGCUAACUACGUGCCAGCAGCCGCGGUAAUACGUAGGGUGCAAGCGUUAAUCGGAAUUACUGGGCGUAAAGCGUGCGCAGGCGGUUAUGUAAGACAGUUGUGAAAUCCCCGGGCUCAACCUGGGAACUGCAUCUGUGACUGCAUAGCUAGAGUACGGUAGAGGGGGAUGGAAUUCCGCGUGUAGCAGUGAAAUGCGUAGAUAUGCGGAGGAACACCGAUGGCGAAGGCAAUCCCCUGGACCUGUACUGACGCUCAUGCACGAAAGCGUGGGGAGCAAACAGGAUUAGAAACCCUAGUAGUCCCAUGAU
Molecule: ribosomal RNA, 476 nt
Filed under: uncultured organism
Description: partial 16S ribosomal RNA
Rfam family: Bacterial small subunit ribosomal RNA
Source: RNAcentral